CAGCAUUGCAUUUUGUUUCUAAGUCUUAGAGCACUUAAUACAUAAGUGUAGCAGUUUCUCAUGCUCCUUGUAUAUCUUCUGAUAGGCAAUUUGAUUUCAAGCCCUUGUGUCCCAGUUAGACUGUAAGGGUCCUGGGGCUAGGAACCAGACCAGGUGGUACUGUUAUCUGCCCCUGUGCUUUGCAGAUUUCGACGUGAAUCUUGUUAAAUGCACAUUAGGUUCAGUAGGCCAGGGUGGUGCCCGGGAGACUAGCUUUCUAACGAGCUCCCAGGUGAUGGUGGUAGUGAUAAAAAUGUUGGCUUAUGGACAUUUGGAAAAGCAGUGCUCAUAGCUUUUGGUACUCAGCACAGCUGUUACUCAAGAAUGCUGGGGGUGCUUCUGGAGCCACUGAGUCGGCCCUUGGUGCUUUGAAACUUACAUUGCAGUGAUGCUGUUCUUUUCAGGGACACUGAUUACUCACAGUAAAAUGUCUACAAAUCUUUGAAUGUAGAUAGAACAUGGUGAGUCUAAAAUAUACUUUGGGGCCAGGCGCACAGAUCACUUAAAGCUUAAAGUCAGGAGUUUGAGACUAUCCUGGCCAACAUGGCAAAACCCCGUGUCUACUAAAAAUACAAAAAUUAGCCACGCAUGCACCUGUAGCUACUAGGGAGCCAGGAGAAUCGCUUGAACCUGGGAGGCAGAGGUUGCAGUGAGCCGAGAUCAUGCCACUGCACUCCAGCCUGGGCAACAGAACAAGACUCUGUCUCAAAACAAAACAUACUCUGGGGGUCUUUUCUGGGAAGCAGUGUUAGGAAUAUCAUAAUUUUGAUGUAAGAACCUUCAGCUAAAAACAUAGUUCCAGUUCCCCAUGUAUCUAGAAAUAAGGCAUAAAUACAGCAUUCAGAUGUAUCCUUGUGGAAAUGAUGACAUGGACAAAAGCAACACAUGUGGGACCACAGACUCAUGGGCAGUAGGAACAAAACUCCCCUUACGGUACCUCUAUUCAUCAGUACUUUGGUGAGGUGGAGACUCAGACCCAUCCAGAAUGGGUGAGUUUUCUGUUGCUUCUCUGAACAAAGGAAAGCAGGAGGAGGAAGAGAAGAGAGGUCAUGUUACAGAGAGACACUGACACAGACACAGACACGAUUAGUAGCUUAUUAAUAUAUCCGAAAGGCUUGCUGAUUAGACACCUGAGUUAGCAACAGAUCAUACAAGUCAUGCAGUACUUUCAGUCCCCAUAAUUGAGUCAAAAUACCUAGUUUGUUAGGAGGGACGGGCCCUCUUUUACCCAUGGCCUCAUUUUGUAUCACAUCAUAGCAAACAGUUUAUGCCAAGAACCAAAAUUGCUGUUUUUCAAAUUUGGCUUGAGUCCUCACUAGUUGUAGGUGGUGAAAUAGGCAGGUUUCAAGACCAUCUUAAGUGCAUAGGACCCUGAGGAGGGCUUGUACAUUUCGGAGCCUGUUGACAGCCAAAUAAUACAAUCAAUCAUAUAUUUGGAUCAGGUGAGACUGGGCAUGAUUCAGAAAAGUUGGAAGAUCUAGAGAGGGAUCUUGCAAUCUGAAGUUUCUUGUUUAGUCACUGGAGGUAUGUAUUACAUAUAUGAAAGAUGUGUCAUUCUUUUAUGAGUUAAUCUUAGACCCCAAACCUUGCAGAGGCUGCCUGGCCAAACAGGUGAGAGCUGGGGUGUGGGUGGGUGAGUGUUAAUGAUCUAAAGGACAAAGGGGCAGCUACUGUCCAACAGACAGCCCAAGAAGUAGGAGCAGACACAGGAACACCGAGCUGGGGCUCCAGUUUCUCUUAUUUUAAAAGGAAUCAGAGGCAGCAGGGGAUCGUUCAGUGGUUGUCAAAACUUGAGUGUGGGUCAGCAUCACCUGGAGGGCUUAUCAGAAUGCAGCCUGCUGGGCUCACCCCCAGAGUUUUGGAUUUUUUUUGUGUUACAGGUAAGCCCGAGAAUUUGCAUUUCUGACAAGAUCCCAGGUGAGGCUCACUCGUGCUGCUGGCUUUGGGAUCACACUUAACUACCGGUAUAGUGGGGAAAGACAGGGUUUGGGGUCACAGAGGGCAGAGCUGGAAUUCCAGCUCCCUCCAGCUGUCAGACUUUGGGCCAGGCACUUAGUUCCUCUGAGCCUCAUCUAUGAAACGAAAACAUCUGGGUAUUUCCCCCGCAAGGGGAUGAUGAGGAUUGUAUGAGCUCAUGUGUGUUAGAAGCUGCUCGCAGCCUUUGAGUACACAGCAAGCACUCAGUAAGUGUUAGGACCCUUUCUUGCCAAAAAUGAAGGCUCCAGAAAACCUGGUGUAAAAAAAUUACCACAGAUAAACCUGCAGGAACAAAAAUGCCGACCAGGUGCCUGUAAUCCUAGCACUUUGGGAAGCUGAGGUGGGUGGAUCACCUGAGGUCAGGAGUUCGAGACCAGCCUGGCCAACGUGGUGAAACCCUGUCUCUACUAGAGAUUAGCCAGGUGUAGUGAUGCACACUAGUAAUCCCGGCUACUAGGAAGGCUGAGGCAGGAGAAUCACUUGAACCAUGGAGGUUGCAGUGAGCUGAUAUCGCACCACUGCAGUCUGGGCAACAGAGUGAGACUCCGUCUCAAAAAAAGGCCAAGUAUGAGAGCCUGAAAGGCAGACAAUACAGCCAAUUCUGGAAUUGUGCUUUUCUCAUGAUUCAACUCACAGCCAGUUGUCAGGUUUUCCCAGACAUCCCCCUGAUGCUCCACCAAACCAGGAACCAGACAAACCGAGGAAGGGGCCUCCUUAACUCCUCUAACCAACAGAUGAGAUGUUGACAGAACCUAACAUCUACUUAGAGAUGAUGUCUCAGGGGCAACAGAAGAGGCAGGUGCUGUAGGGCCAGGCGGGUUACCUGUGUCUGCCAGACCCUCCAGUAGUUCAGAAUAGCCUCACUGGCGCCGAGAUGAUAAUGCUGUAUGCAAACAUGUCAAGCUAUCAAAGGGAGCUGCCUUUCGGUUUCAUUAAUUUUGUUGUGUGCAGCUUCCACUGAAGGCUUCAGGGCACCUGAUCUCUUUUGUGUGUUGAGAAAGAGCAAGUGCUUGGCCAGGACACAGCCCUUUUUCUUGCACCCUGAGACAUCCUAAGACACUGGCUGUUUCACCUGCCCCAGUGUAUUUGCUGUCUUCAUCAGCUCUCUUUCUCCCCCUGACAUUCUUGCCUGGCAUUUUGAGUCAGCCUGAGUAUAAUCCAAACCGAAAUGAAAUGCUGUCUGGAAAUCUUACCAAAGAAGCACAGUCCCACUUCGUGCUUCCAUCUCCCCACAUCCCAAGGACCACCGCCUACUUUAAGAGAACACAGACAAUUCACCUCUAUAAAGGCACAGCCAGGAAAAGGAGUAGGCAGAGGUGACAGCAGAUCAUGGGGCUUCUCUUGAAAGGAAGACACCUCCCAGUGAUGAACCCUCAUCAUCCAUUUACUGACAUAUCCUUAUGUCACCAGGAUCUGAACGUCUAUGACACUCUUUCGAGCUGACACAGUGAAGAACAUAGAAGGAGAACUCACCCAGUCUGCCAGGGUCACAGAAUGAUCAUACUCAAGAUCUUCCUGGGGAGUCAAUGGCAAAUUUCACUGGGCUAUUUUACAGAUGAAGAAGGAACAUAAAGAAGGUUCUGGGACCCCGAAGUCCACGGAACACCCACCAUUACCUGAUCUUUGGAGCUUGUCAUUUGGCCAGUGGACCCUAAUAAACGUCCACGGGGAUGUGGGGAUAGAAUGCCAGAGCCUGGCUCGCUAGGGCAUCCAGGUUCUUCCUUCCUCUUUGCCCUGCUGUCUCCAGGCACCAAGAAUCUCCUACAGUUCCCCAAAGAUGAACCCCCCAUUAUCUCAGGUCACUCUGUUUCCCCCGAUCUUUACCAAAUUCCUGACUCAGAGUUCCUCCCAUUUGCUUCUGACUCUCAUUUUAUUCUUACCUCUCAUUUUAUUCUUAUGAUGUUUACCAUUUCUCUUCUCCUCAGUGUCCCUCUCUGAGUGGUAAGAGUAUGUUAAUAAGCCAGUGCUGAGACCGGAGCACGAGGCAACUGCUCAAUGUUGGUCAUUGUCACUGUUAUUAAAUGUAACUUAAGGGAA
Molecule: long non-coding RNA, 4053 nt
Filed under: Homo sapiens (human)
Lineage: Eukaryota; Metazoa; Chordata; Mammalia; Primates; Hominidae
Description: HSALNT0356512
Source: RNAcentral